Molecule: ribosomal RNA, 484 nt
Filed under: uncultured bacterium
Lineage: Bacteria
Description: partial 16S ribosomal RNA
Rfam family: Bacterial small subunit ribosomal RNA
Source: RNAcentral
AUUGAACGCUGGCGGCAGGCCUAACACAUGCAAGUCGAGCGGAUGAAGGGAGCUUGCUCCUGGAUUCAGCGGCGGACGGGUGAGUAAUGCCUAUGAAUCUGCCCCGUAGUGCGGUAUAACGUCCGCAAACGGGCGCUAAUACCGCAUACGUCCUGCGGCAGCAAGUGGGGGAUCUUCGGACCUCACGCUAUCAGAUGAGCCUAGGGCGGAUUAGCUAGCUGGUUGGGUAAAGGCCUACCCAGGCGACGAUGCGUAACUGGUCUGAGAGGAUGAUCAGUCACACUGGAAGUGAGACACGGUCCAGACUGCUACGGGAGGGAGCAGUGGGGAAUAGUGGACAAAGGGCGAAAGCCUGAGCCAGACAUGCCGAGUGUGUAUAGAGGGUCGUCGGAUGGUGAAGCACGUUAAGUGGGGAGGAAGGGCAGUAAGUUAAUACCUAGCUGUUUGGACGUUAACAACAGAAUGAGCAACGGCUAAAUUCGUG